This is an RNA transcript of Eriocheir sinensis (Chinese mitten crab), 6647 nucleotides long. It is a transcript of the gene named atypical protein kinase C-like, with no coding region annotated. Lineage: Eukaryota; Metazoa; Arthropoda; Malacostraca; Decapoda; Varunidae. The record is from RefSeq and is a predicted model, not a curated record. The transcript has 12 exons.
CAGAGUGAGUUAGUGUCGCGCUUGCUUGUCUGUGGAUUAGUAUGCGUUUCCCUUCCUCCUCCUCCACCUCUUCUUCGUCCUCCUCCUCCUCCUCUUCUUCGUCUCUCCUCCUCCUCCUCCUCCUCCUGAGUGUGUCCCUGCGCGCCCUCCCGUCACCUCGCCCCGGGCCGCCCCUUGACGUGUGUUUGUGAAUAGAGCCACACACGCACGCCCUCCGAGUGUGUGUGUGUGUGUGUGUGCCCCGGGGGAGGGAGGGGCGGACAUGGCUCGUGUUGGGCAAAGGAGGCAGGACGGUGAGCAGGAGAAGAGCCAUGAGGAGGUGCAGUGGAUAGUUGGCGGAACCACCACAACCACUACCACCACCACCACAACAACAACAACGAUAACAACACCUACUACUAUCACCACCACCACCACCACCACCACCAGACAAAGGCCGCUGUCCCUGGUGUUCCUGAGCUGCGUCUCGCCCCAGCACGUACCGAAGGGCAGAGUGACGGGGCAGAGGACGGAGAGGAGGAACUCGGAGGGGAACUGUCUGGAAGGGGAGGAGAGGGGCGGAGUGACGGGGAAAGGGGCGGAGCGGAGGGAACGGAGCCGCAGUGUAUCGGGGUCCCGCCUUCUGUUAGCUUUGAAGAGACGAACGAGAUCUGGUGUUGCUGAAGGAGGAGGAGGAGGAGGAGGAGGAGGCAGCCCAUCAAACAACACCAGUUCAUUCCCUCACCUCCACCCCACCUCCCCUCUCACCUCCGCCAGCGUCACCACCCCUAUCCCCGCAGCCAGACAGCACACCUCCCCCGGGGCACAUGUCCUGAGUGUCAGCCCCCCCGCCCCCACCGAGCCCUCACGAGCGCCCCGCCGCCGCCCCAGGGUCAGAUCUCUUGUCGCUCGGCCGCGUACGUGGAGUGACGCCGCCCAGAGCCUCCACUAUGUCACGACCCCGCCCUCGCCGACCCUCAAGACAGGCAGACUGGAGGGGCGCCCGUGUUCCUGGGGGGAUGGGAAGGGCGCCGCGGCAGCCCCACCCGGCACCCCUGAUUCCCCGUGGCCCCCCGAGGAGUGGCGUUCCCUCCCUUCCCCCUACAACGGUUUCCUGUCCUCCCUCUUCCAUAGUCUGUCCCUCCGCCAACCCGCGUCGCCUGGCUCACCGCACGAGUCCUUUGGGAGCAUCUACCGGCGAGGGGCGAGGCGAUGGAGGAAGCUGUACAAGGUCAAUGGGCACAUCUUCCAGGCCAAACGCUUCAACAGGCGGGCCUUCUGCGAGUUCUGUAAGGACCGCAUCUGGGGACUGGGGCGGCAGGGCUUCAAGUGUACGCAAUGCAAGCUGCUCGUCCACAAGAAGUGCCACAAACUGCAGAAAGUGCCGUGCAAUGCCGACCUGGACACCUCGACGGACACCCUGGCCUCCCAAGACUCCUCCACGCUUCCCCGCAGCGGCACCAAUGGGAGGAUGGCCGUGCAGGACUUUGCCGGGGAGGUCGCAGAUGCAGGAGUCACUGAAGAAACACCUGUGGAAAUGCCUGCAAUUUCAGGCGGCAGCAGUGAGCCCAUGUCCCCGUCAGGCCAGGCAGGCCAGUACUGCCUCGAUGACUUUGAGCUGAUCCGCGUCAUCGGCCGCGGCUCCUACGCCAAGGUGCUCAUGGUGGAGCUGAAGAAGACCAAGAGGAUCUAUGCCAUGAAAGUUAUCAAGAAGACGCUAGUCACGGACGAUGAGGACAUUGACUGGGUUCAGACCGAGAAACACGUGUUUGAGACUGCCUCCAAUCAUCCCUUCCUGGUGGGUUUGCAUUCCUGCUUCCAGACUCCGUCCAGACUCUUCUUCGUCAUAGAGUUUGUGCGUGGUGGAGACCUUAUGUUCCACAUGCAGCGGCAGCGGCGACUUCCCGAGGAACAUGCCAGAUUUUAUGCUGCAGAAAUUUGUCUGGCUCUUAACUUCCUCCAUGAAAAGGGCAUCAUUUACCGAGACCUCAAGCUGGACAACGUUCUGCUGGACCACGAGGGACACAUCAAGCUCACUGACUAUGGCAUGUGCAAGGAAGGCAUCCGUCCAGGAGACACCACCUCCACCUUCUGCGGCACACCCAACUACAUCGCCCCAGAGAUCCUGCAGGGUGUUGAGUACAGCUUCAGCGUUGACUGGUGGGCCCUGGGUGUCCUGCUGUACGAGAUGCUGGCCGGAAAGAGUCCCUUUGAUAUUGUGGGAGCCUCAGACAACCCAGACUGCAACACUGAAGACUUCCUCUUCCAAGUCAUUCUUGAGAGGCCAAUUCGUAUCCCUCGGUCACUGUCCGUCAAGGCCGCCUCCAUCCUGAAGGGCUUCCUCAACAAGAACCCAGUGGACCGCCUGGGCUGCCACCCAGAGACAGGCUUCACAGACAUCAUCUCUCACCCCUUCUUCAAGACAAUAAUCUGGGAAAUGCUGGAAAGAAAACAGAUUCCUACCCCAUUCAAGCCCCGGGUGGAUGGAGAAAGAGAUCUUGAAAACUUUGAUCCUCAGUUUACAGCAGAGCCUGUACAGUUUACUCCAGACGACCAUUGGAGCAGCGACAGGUCCCCCCGCCUUACCGCCCCCGGCUAGACUCUGACCGUGACCUGGCUAACUUCCCCCCAGAAUUUACAGAUGAGCCUAUUCAACUGACCCCUGAUGAUGCGCGUGCCAUCGAGAACAUUGACCAGAGUGAGUUUGAAGGGUUUGAGUACGUCAACCCGCUGCUGAUGAGCAUGGAGGACUGUGUGUAGCCGGGCCAACACGCCGCGCCUCGCCGGGAUGCUGGACUCAUCCUUCCCUCGGCCUCACCUCCUCCACACUUUGCAGAUGAGAUAUAGAACUCGUACCAUCCCCUUCCUAUCACCCACUUACACUCCACUGACUUCCAUUGUGAAAAAUUCCAUCUGGGGUGAGAGGAGGCAUCAGCUGAGGGAGAGAGGAAGUGUGUGGUGAGAAAGUAAUGAGAAGGAAAUGUACAGUGAAGCAAGAGAAGUGAUGACUAGGUCCAAUAGUCGUGCCCCAAGAUUCUUUUGUAACUAUUGCCUUAUGCUGAGGAACACUUUCUGUGGUAGGGAAUAAUUGAUUUUCAUGUUCAUCUCCUACCAAGACUUUCAUUAUGCCUUCAUAGCAUUUCAGUCUCCCCAGUUUUUAUGAUUUGCUGAUUGUAGACAGCCAGCAUAUGCACGCAUGAUAAAACUAAACAGAUUGAUUUAUUAUAUGUAACACUUCAAGAAAUCCCUUCAGAUUCUCUCUGCUGAUCAUUGUUUAGCUUCAGUGAUUUUCAUCGCCACUAUUUUUAAACAUGUUGACUUUCAAGUCUUCUGGAAGAGGAAAGAGUAAAAGAUGCUUUAUUUUGACUUCCAUCCCCACCCUCCCACCUUUGGAUACACAGUAAUGAUUUAUGAUGUGAUGAUUCUGUAGGGACCAAAGAAAGCCUUGUUUCAAAGUGAUCCGCCAGAUAUCUCAUUUAUUCGUGAUUUUCACAAUCGAUUCAAGUGAAAAUAUUUAAUGCUGGCUUUUUUCUACCGAGGUCUAUAUGAGUUGUAACUUCCUUUUUUUGUUAACAUGUAAUGGUUGUGCAAUAUUCAGGCAGCAGAGAACUUUCAAAAUCUCCGGGCAGCUUUUUGUGCAGCAAGCCAAGCAUGAACCACUGAUGAGAUAGGAACCUCCUGGUGUGGAGCAGCUAACCACCAAAGGCAACUACUGGGUGGAUGUCAGCCAGGAAGGUUCACAAGUGAUUAUGUCUGUAGGAAGAAGACACAGGUGCCAGACUCUGAAGGGCGCACCAACAGUGUUCAGAUGAGCUGGUCAGCAGCUGGCUCUUGGUAAUAAAGUGAUGUUGAUAGCAUCAUAUGUAUCACGAUAUUUCAAUAAUGACACCAUCCCUGCGCUUAUUAUAAUCAGAUUUUAGCACAUAUAAGCAUAAUAUUACACUCACAGAAGAUAUCAUUUCAUAUGAAUAAAAUUGCAAAUGUUACCUGCGAGAGCAAUGGUCAUUCUUUACUCAUCAUUAACUUUUCAUGUGCUCCCACAAGGAUAUUCAUUGUGUCUUCCAGAUUAAGAUUGUCAGUUCAGGCAUGAUGACAGGUGUUUGACAGACACCUUGGCUAGUGGUGCAAGACCUGGGUGUGGCUUCAUGAUCUCUAGUAAUUCCAGAUGACUGAAUCCUGUUCCUGUUCACUUUAAUAAUAUGUCCAUCAUCAUUUAGCGUUAAGAACAAUUGAAGUUCUUUAAAAUAUCCACCGGUUAUAUUUUGUGUAAUUUCUUUCAUAAUUUUUUGUAUUCUCUUAGAGAUUAUUGGUGCAAGUGCCUGUUGUAGAGCUGCAAUAUGUAUCGUUGAAGUUCUUGGUUGGACAUAUUUUCCAACCACUGAGUAAUGUAGACAGGUAGGCUGCUUGCUGGCUUACCACUAAUAUAGGACAAAGCUGAGUCACAGCUCUGUAAGGAGUCAUAAUGGUGAGGAAGUAAGUGAAAUGCAUUGUUUGUAUCAUAUUUAUAAUUUACAAAGCUGUAAUCCUAAGGUAGAGUCUGGCUCGAUCAUAAGAAUUAAAGGAGCUUCUGUGAAGUUUCUCAAACCUGCCUGAACGAUAAUAUUCCAGGCACUCGUACUGCCACUCAGACACGCCUUGGACAGUGAGUGGAUGCUGAACACUAACAUUCCCGGGACAUUCCAUGCACGCGAGGGGCAGAGAGGCUGCUGGACGAUAACAAUGCUCUUGCCUGGGCCCCCCUUCAUUCAUGAGAAUAGUUUUUAAUUGUAGAAAAUUAUUACUGCUGCUGUUUGAAAUACUGAAAUGUUUUCUUGUUAUUGUACUUUAAAAGUUAUCAUACCUUAUAUUUUUAUAUCAAGAAGCAUAGUUGCACAUAUUUUGGGAUGAAAAAGGGAUUUUUUUUCAAUCUCACAAGUUGUGUAGGUUUCUUGUGAGCGCUGAGAUCUAAUGAAUAUCAACAUUCUUUUGUGAAUAUUUCUGUUUCAUCUCAAAUAAUUUAGUCAUUCUUUUCAUCUCAUCUGCUCUGUAAGAGGAAUUUUAAUCCUUAUAGAUCAAUUUAAAUCAAAUAUUAAAUGUAAAAAUCACACUAUUUAUAAAAUUGAAUGUUUCUGCAAAAUGGUAGCCUAUAACUUUUAUUUCAGAAUUGUGUGCCGGACUGAAUCAGUCUCUGCUGGUAGUCUUUCAGGGUUCAUUGCCUUCUGUCAUCGACUACUGAGAAGUGCUUAAUCUACUCCUUGCUCAGCAGGUGGCUUUUAACCCUAAAUUGGGCAAAGUGUAAAGAACACUAGUUUCACAUCCUGUUUGAGUGGCAAGUUGCUUUAUCAAUUGGCUGUUUUGCCUUAGCUACUGACGUUGUUGUCUGUGAAUUUUCAUUACUAAUUCAGGACUAGUAGUGUAAAUGCUGUUAAUUUACCCCAGUUAUCUCACCCUACCUUGGCACUUGUCUGUUUAACAUGGAUAUUUAUUUUGAAUAUUGAGGUAUUUUUAUUGUUAAUAUUUAUAGUUAUUUAGAUGACACACAUUUUAUAAACCUAAGCAUAAGAGGGAUGGACUGGAAUGGCUAAAUGGCCUCUCCUCAUAUACCACGUCCCCACGGGGAGGUCAGUGAGAUCGCUUCCUGUAAAUACGUACGUCUAGCACUGUAUAAUCAAAAUGGUGCUUGUGGUCCCUUCAUGACCUGGGAGCCAUGGUAAUAAAGGUGCCCAUUGGCUCUUACUGUGCGCACCUCAGCAGGACGCCUCUCUGGCCCAGCAGCCCACCCACGCCUCACCCCUCUGUGAAACCAAUGGCCAUGUAAUCAUUCUGCAGUUUAUGAUUAAGAAAACAUACAAGGGAAUGUACUAUAGUGUCAUCGGAGUAGAUUAUCCUGAAAAGAUGUGCUCUCUCUCUCAUUCCAAAUCUGCAGUGUUUAAAACAGCAAGUUUGGCAUUAUUUAGGUAAAAGAUUCACUCUGAACACAGGCCUGUUGCUCUAAGGGACUCGUCACUUUGGGCAGCAGUUCCGUAGCUCACACCAAUAUUUAGUUGACUGGGUCGUGUCUGAUAGAGGAGAAAGAUGCCAUCCACUGAGGAGGUGGAUGCUGGGCCAGGCAAGUGCCAUGCUCCUUGGGGCACUAAGCUUCAGGGUGGAGUCAGUGUCCCCAUAGGCAGGAUUUUUGUUUUCAUUUAUCUCAAGACUGUAACCAGUUUGUUGAAUAUUGUCAUUAGUUCAUCGGACUGUCAUGUACAGCAGUGACAUUAUUUUUCUGUGAUCACUCACAGAUGUGCUGUUGUGUUCAUUCUCUCAAACUGAGAAUUUAAGUAUCAAAUGCAGCAUUAACACUCAGGUAAGACAUUUCAAAGACACCUUUCAUGCAUAUCCCAAGCAUCUGUGAAGAGAUGCUAUUGGUAACUUUAUACAAUCACCAACAGAGUGGCAUAAUAUUAUCCUCUCAAAAAGCUCAGUUUACAUAUAUUUUUGUUUUUCCCAGUUUGUUAAUUUGAAUAAAGUGCAGAUGUAGCUGCUGUAAAGAAAUUGGAUUUGCUCACCAAAAGAGGGAAAAAUACUUGUGUGGAAAUGUCAGUCUUAGCGUCAAGGUGUCAAUACAGUAUUUUGAUAAAGUAAUAAAUCUAGUUUGAGGUACACUGUAAAUGUUUCCUAAGUAAAAAUUAUUUACUAAUAAAACUAUU